This 475-nucleotide ribosomal RNA is filed under the name uncultured bacterium. RNAcentral describes it as "partial 16S ribosomal RNA". It matches the Rfam family "Bacterial small subunit ribosomal RNA", at positions 30 to 507 of the family's 1533-position model. The record is from RNAcentral.
UGAACGCUGGCGGCAUGCUUUACACAUGCAAGUCGAACGGUAACAGGUUAAGCUGACGAGUGGCGAACGGGUGAGUAAUGCAUCGGAACGUGCCCGAUCGUGGGGGAUAACGCAGCGAAAGCUGCGCUAAUACCGCAUACGAUCUGAGGAUGAAAGCGGGGGACCGUAAGGCCUCGCGCGAUCGGAGCGGCCGAUGUCAGAUUAGGUAGUUGGUGGGGUAAAGGCUCACCAAGCCGACGAUCUGUAGCCGGUCUGAGAGGACGACCAGCCACACUGGGACUGAGACACGGCCCAGACUCCUACGGGAGGCAGCAGUGGGGAAUUUUGGACAAAGGGCGCAAGCCUGAUCCAGCAAUGCCGCGUGCAGGAAGAAGGCCUUCGGGUUGUAAACUGCUUUUGUACGGAGCGAAAAGGCUCUCUCUAAUACAGGGGGCUCAUGACGGUACCGUAAGAAUAAGCACCGGCUAACUACGUG